Molecule: long non-coding RNA, 233 nt
Filed under: Erythranthe guttata (spotted monkey flower)
Lineage: Eukaryota; Viridiplantae; Streptophyta; Magnoliopsida; Lamiales; Phrymaceae
Description: long non-coding RNA (EGUT_LNC002365)
Source: RNAcentral
CGUCUUCACUAAAAUCUCCAUUAUAAUCCUUCUCAAUAUACAAAUCCACAAGCCGGAAUAACCUUCGCCGGCACGGCCAAUCCGCCGCCGCCGAUAUGUUUCUAUCAAUUUUGGUUAGUCGACGGACGACGAUGAAAGAACAAUUACUUGCAUCCAUCGAAGGCCACAACAACCGUCACACCCGUAGUAGCUCCGGCAACAGCCGCAAUGGCGAUUUCAGUAGUAUGCGGCGG